Molecule: ribosomal RNA, 484 nt
Filed under: uncultured bacterium
Lineage: Bacteria
Description: partial 16S ribosomal RNA
Rfam family: Bacterial small subunit ribosomal RNA
Source: RNAcentral
AUUGAACGCUGGCGGCAGGCCUAACACAUGCAAGUCGAGCGGAUGAAGGGAGCUUGCUCCUGGAUUCAGCGGCGGACGGGUGAGUAAUGCCUAGGAAUCUGCCUGGUAGUGGGGGAUAACGUCCGGAAACGGGCGCUAAUACCGCAUACGUCCUGAGGGAGAAAGUGGGGGAUCUUCGGCCCUCACGCUAUCAGAUGAGCCUAGGUCGGAUUAGCUAGUUGGUGGGGUAAAGGCCUACCAAGGCGACGAUCCGUAACUGGUCUGAGAGGAUGAUCAGUCACACUGGAACUGAGACACGGUCCAGACUCCUACGGGAGGCAGCAGUGGGGAAUUUUGGACAAUGGGCGAAAGCCUGAUCCAGCCAUGCCGCGUGUGUGAAGAAGGUCUUCGGAUUGUAAAGCACUUUAAGUUGGGAGGAAGGGCAGUAAGUUAAUACCUUGCUGUUUUGACGUUACCAACAGAAUAAGCACCGGCUAACUUCGUG